GGCUACUUGCAUCAUUGUAAAAAUGGUGCAAGAUCGACGAUGUCGAAUAAAAUUCUAGGUAGAAUUAUGAUGAUGACAUUGUCUAUCUAUGUGUCUUGACCAAAUUACGUGCCAGCAGUCGCGGUAAUACGUAUAAGGCUAGUGUUAUUCAUGUUUAAUCGGUUUAAAGGGUACCUAGACGGUAAAUCAAGCUUUAAAAAUACAGAUGUUAAUUUUAAUAUAUUAAUAUUAUUAAAAGGACUAAUUUACUAGAGUUACUAAUGGCGGGGCUUUAAAGUACUAUUGGUGGAGAGAUAAAAUUCUUAGAUACCUCUUAUGGCACAUAUAUAGGCGAAGGUAUCCCCUUAUGUGAUAACUGACGUUGAGGGACGAAGGCUUUGUGUAGCGAAUAGGAUUAGAGACCCUAGUAGUCGGAGCAGUAAAUGAUGAAUGUCAUAGAUUAGAUGUAUAAGUUUAUUCUAUAAAUGAAAGUGUAAACAUUCCACCUCAAGAGUAAUUUGGCAACAUUGGAACUGAAAUCAUUAGACCGUAUCUGAAACCAGUAGUGAAGUAUGUUGUUUAAUUUGAUAAUACGCAAAAAACCUUACCACAAUUUGAAUAUUUACAAUUUUAUUGCCUUUUUUAUAGACAAUAUAUUGUAUUUACAAGCGCUGCACGGCUGUCUUCAGUUAAUGUCGCGAGACUUUGGUUAGUUCCAUUAAAUUAACGUAAACCUUAUUAUUUUUAGAUAAAGUA
RNAcentral lists this ribosomal RNA (735 nucleotides) under Pseudoparmelia floridensis. RNAcentral's name for it is "SSU rRNA". It matches the Rfam family "Bacterial small subunit ribosomal RNA", at positions 406 to 1125 of the family's 1533-position model. The record is from RNAcentral. Lineage: Eukaryota; Fungi; Ascomycota; Lecanoromycetes; Lecanorales; Parmeliaceae.